GGCGAAACUUGUUCCCUUCCACCGUCGCUACUUCUCUCUUCCCCUUCUUGCCCUGUUUUUCUUGCUGGAAUUUGGAAUCGAGCUCGCACUUCUUUUUCCCCCCUCUCUUGCAGUAUUAUUUUGAGGACCGGUUCGACCUGGUCAAGUUCGUGGAGAUUGUACGGGAUGCGGGGCUGUACAUGGUCCUGCGCAUUGGACCAUUUGUUGCUGCCGAGUGGAACUUCGGGUGUGUCUCGAGAUAUUGAUUUACUUAUCUUUGCGGUUUGUUCCUCAAAGCAGUGGUCGUGAUGGGGUUUUGUUGGAGCUGCAGGGGAGUGCCAGUUUGGCUGCAUUAUGUGCCUGGGACUGUCUUUCGGACAAUCAGCGAGCCAUUAAGAUCAACACAUGUAAUUCAUUUUACUGUGAUCAGUUCACACCAAAUUCCCCCAAAUAAGCCAAAAAUUUGGACAGAGAAUUGGCCUGGAUGGUAAUUCUAUUUCAGGAAUUAUCGUUCUAUUUGUAAGCUUAUGCCAAAGUAAUCUUAGCAACAUAAAGUUGUGGAUCCUCCAGAAGGAAAUGAGCCCGUUGGGCUGGACAUGCAAUUUAUGGGAAAGGGCCAAGCUUGGCUAAAUGGAAAAGCCAUUGGAAGAUACUGGUCCAGGACAAGUUCUGUGCAUUGAAUGCAUUCCUAGUUGCAAUUACAGGGGCAAAUUUGUCCCGGACAAAUGCAGGACAGGAUGUGGAGAUCCAACUCAGAGAUGGUAAUCCAGGUACCAUGUCCCUCGAUCUUGGUUUCGACCAUCAGGGAAUACUUUGGUGAUAUUUGAGGAGAAAGGUGGAGAUCCUACUAAGAUUACUUUUUCAAGAAGACGUGUGACAGGUGUCUGUAGUUUUGUAUCAACAGCCUACCCUUCCAUGGACUUGGAAUCCUGGGAUCUAACAGGAGCUAUAAUGGAGAUAAGGCAGUAAUACAUUUGAAGCGUCCCGAGGGCACACUUAUUUCCUCCAUUAAAUUUGCCAGCUUUGGAAAUCCAAGUGGAACAUGCAGAUCCUAUCGCCAAGGAAGUUGUCAUCAUCCUGACUCCAUUUCUGUGAUUGAAAAGGCAGCAUCAAUCAUCUUAAAAAUAUUCUCAGAAUGCUAAUGAAAUUUUAUAUUUGUAAAUUUGUUUGGAUUAAUCGUCAAAGUUAUCAUUUUACAAGAGGGUAUACUUUGAAAAAAAAUCAGCAGUAACACUAAAAGAUUUCUUCUGACCUUAUAAUUUCUGAAAUGCAAAACUUACAUAGGCAUAUUGAAGCUGCAGCACAUACAUGUAAUACUUUUGCAGCUACAUGUUUUUGCAAUGAAAAGGUUUAAUAUAAAUCGCCAACUUCAUAGAAGAUGUCAUCAUCCCGGCUCAAUUUCUGUGGUUGAAAAGGUAUCAUACAUCAUUUUAAAAAUAUUCUCAGAAUGCUAAUGAAUUUUUGUGUUUGUAAUUUUGUUUGGAUUAAUCGUCGAGUUUAUCAUUCUACAACAGGGUAUGCUUAAAAAUAAAACAGCAGAAACAUUAAAAGAUGUCUUCUGACCUUAUAAUUGCGGAAAUGCAAAACUUAUAUGGGCAUAUUGAAGUUGCAGCACAUACAUGGAAUACUUUUGCAGCUAUAUGUUUUUGCCAUGAAAAGGCUUAAUAUAAAUUACCAACUAACUUCAUAGUGGAGGAAGAUCCUUGCAUUGCAAGGCAAAGGUAAAAGCAUUUGUCUUCUUUUAAUUAUGCAUAGAUAUCACUGCCCAAAGUUGAGUCAUUUAAACGAUUUUUCUGAGUUUAUUACUUAAAUCUUGUUAUGGCAGGCCUGUCUACAUAAAAGACUGUGUACUGUGUCGUUGUCUGAAGACAAAUUCAAUAAAGAUUUAUGUCCCAGCAUGAUUAAGACGCUUGCUAUUGAAGCUGCUUGCAGCUAGUAACGUGACGGCUGCUAAAAUUACCUUUUCCAGAAGUUCCAUUGAUGAAAUCAUUCGAGAUAAGGAUCCUUAAUUUAUAGCACGCAAAAACUAGUACCAUAUUGCUUGUCCCUUAUUUCUGAUUCAGAGGGUCAGAGCUGCUUUUAAGCAAAGCUGAUAGAAGGCCUGUUUCAUUUGAAUUCUUCUCUAGUCUCAGUUCAUUUGGAUCUCCAUGUGAAAAUGAACUUCGUUGCUCAAGGAUGUAUUUUGAUUUUUCAUUAAAUAUAAAAGAAAAUUUUGGUUUUGUAA
Long non-coding RNA from Phoenix dactylifera (date palm), 2203 nucleotides. RefSeq lists it as uncharacterized. The record is from RefSeq and is a predicted model, not a curated record. NCBI's taxonomy places the organism in Eukaryota, Viridiplantae, Streptophyta, Magnoliopsida, Arecales, Arecaceae.